RNAcentral lists this long non-coding RNA (1231 nucleotides) under Mus spicilegus (steppe mouse). RNAcentral's name for it is "lncRNA (ENSMSIG00000019483.1)". Lineage: Eukaryota; Metazoa; Chordata; Mammalia; Rodentia; Muridae. The record is from RNAcentral.
AUGGUAAAUUUGGAGAAUUUUAUUAGUUUACAUAACAUCUACAAAUUGCCUGUUUCUGCAUUUCUCUUUGUUCUUGUUCUUUCCUGUUUCCAGGUAUUAGUGAGAUAUGGAUACUGCUAUCUGAGAAGCUAUGGUAAGACUCAUACAUUUCUUGAUGUAACCAUCAUCAAAUGUGGACUAUUAGCUUGUUUCCAUGUGUGUGAGUCCAAUUGCUCUUAUGAGAAGUUGUAAGACAAUGCAUUUGAAGCAGCAAACACAAUAAGAUGUCUUACAAGUCCCAUUGCUAGCCCGUUGGGUCGGACAGAAGCCACAUCUUAGCCUGCAAACUCAACAAGAGAACCAAAUAUAUCCUCUUCCAAUACUCAUUCUUGAAUGCACAAUGAAGCCACAGAAAAAAUCCCUAAAUAUUUGUAGAGAGAAUUUAUAGGAGAUUCAACUUUAAUUCAAAUUUAGAAAAUAUUUCUGUUCAUUCUCUGAGUUAAGUUCUGAAAUUUAUUUGAUAAACUUGUCAGCUUUACUGAUUUUGUUUGCUUUCUGUUUUUUGUUUGGUUGUUUGUUUUGUUUUGUUUUGGAUACUACACAAAAACAGCAGUCAUGAUUACAAUAUCAUCUAUUUCCUAUGCUUCUAUUUUAGGGGCAUAGAGCAUAUAAGCAAGUCUAGGUAAUAUUUGGGGAAAAAAAUAAGUUAACACUUAAGAGUCAUUCCUCAACUUGGGGGGUCGUUGUAAUUCUUGUAAAUUCAGCUAUUAGGCUGUUUGGUUAAAAUGAUUUGUGAAUAUUUGGUUGAAUAUUCCAGAAACUUCCCCUAUUUGAAUAGAGAACAUAGUCUUCCAAACAGUUCUUUUUUUCUGCCCCAUUAUCUCUUUUUUUUAAUUAUAUUUCAAUGUGUACUUGUGCAAAUGAAAGUGUUUUGCCAAACUUUUGCUACAGACGUUGAUUUUUCUAGAACUGUCAAGAAUUAAUUAUUGAAAAAAAGUUUUAAAUGGCUUGCAGUAGAAACAUUUUUAAAUUCUGUCCAUCACAUAUUUUCCAGUAAUAUGCCAUGUAAUAUGUUUCAGCAUAUUGUGAUGUGUGGUUAAGAGAAAACACGUGAAUAUAAUGAUAAUAAUUUUAAAAGAUGUACUCUAGUAGCUCCACAUAAUGUUUAAUUCACAAUUUCAACCAUAAUUUGAGAACAUGUAGUAUUUUCUCUACUUUCACUGAUUUCGUAUGAGCUAAAGAAAAUCUUGUC